UACGUAGGGUGCGAGCGUUAAUCGGAAUUACUGGGCGUAAAGAGUGCGUAGGCGGUUCGUUAUGUCUGCUGUGAAAGCCCCGGGCUUAACCCGGGAAUGGCAGUGGAAACUGGCGGGCUUGAGUGUGGCAGAGGGGGGUGGAAUUCCGCGUGUAGCAGUGAAAUGCGCAGAUAUCAGGAGGAACACCGGUGGCGAAGGCGGGUCUCUGGGCCGAUACUGACGCUGAGGAGCGAAAGCGUGGGGAGCGAACAGG
Molecule: ribosomal RNA, 253 nt
Filed under: uncultured bacterium
Lineage: Bacteria
Description: partial 16S ribosomal RNA
Rfam family: Bacterial small subunit ribosomal RNA
Source: RNAcentral